UACGGGGGGAGCAAGCGUUGUUCGGAUUUACUGGGCGUAAAGGGCGCGUAGGCGGCGCAACAAGUCACUUGUGAAAUCUCCGGGCUUAACUCCGGAACUGCCAUUGAAACUGUUUAGCUUGAGGACGAGAGAGGUGAGUGGAAUUCCCAGUGUAGAGGUGAAAUUCGUAGAUAUUGGGAAGAACACCGGUGGCGAAGGCGGCUCACUGGCUCGUAUCUGACGCUCAGGCGCGACAGCGUGGGGAUCAAACAGG
RNAcentral lists this ribosomal RNA (253 nucleotides) under uncultured bacterium. RNAcentral describes it as "partial 16S ribosomal RNA". It matches the Rfam family "Bacterial small subunit ribosomal RNA", at positions 524 to 776 of the family's 1533-position model. The record is from RNAcentral.